UGAACUUAGGGAUGCAAACGGAGCUGAUCCGGGAGGAGGGGUCUACCUCUUCUUGCUUUUUUAUUGUCGGAUCGGAACGGAUUUCAGAUGAAUAAAUUUUAUUUUUAUUUUUAGCUUCUAUCUAUCGCUUCAUUCGGGGCAGAUCGGGGCGGGAGCAGACUUUUUGCAGAUUUUGGCAGAUCGAAGGAAGAAAAAGAUCUCUCGCCUCAUACUUCAUUUACUUCACGAAUUGAAGAAAUUCGGAGUGAAUUAUAAUUUUUUAUAUUUUUUUGUUCCUAUUUAUCGCCUUAUUUAGGGUGGAUCCGGACAGGGGGAGCUCCACAACCCGGACC
Molecule: long non-coding RNA, 332 nt
Filed under: Ananas comosus (pineapple)
Lineage: Eukaryota; Viridiplantae; Streptophyta; Magnoliopsida; Poales; Bromeliaceae
Description: long non-coding RNA (ACOM_LNC027218)
Source: RNAcentral